Molecule: ribosomal RNA, 497 nt
Filed under: uncultured bacterium
Lineage: Bacteria
Description: partial 16S ribosomal RNA
Rfam family: Bacterial small subunit ribosomal RNA
Source: RNAcentral
GAUGAACGCUGGCGGCGUGCCUAAUACAUGCAAGUCGAGCGAACAGAUGAGGAGCUUGCUCCUCUGACGUUAGCGGCGGACGGGUGAGUAACACGUGGAUAACCUACCUAUAAGACUGUGAUAACUUCGGGAAACCGGAGCUAAUACCGGAUAAUAUAUUGAACCGCAUGGUUCAAUAGUGAAAGACGGUUUUGCUGUCACUUAUAGAUGGAUCCGCGCCGCAUUAGCUAGUUGGUAAGGUAACGGCUUACCAAGGCAACGAUGCGUAGCCGACCUGAGAGGGGGAUAGGCGGCACGAGAGGGGAGACGGGGACAAGACGACUAAGAGAGGCAGCAGAAGGGAAGCUGAGGCAAUAGGGGGAAGCAUGACGGAGCAGCGACGCGUGAGUGAUGACGGUGUUCGGAGCGUAAAGAUCUGUUAUUGGGGGAGAACAAAUGUGGAAGUAACUGUGCACGUCUUGACGGUACCUGGUCAAGAAGCCACGGCUAACUACGUG